This 426-nucleotide ribosomal RNA is filed under the name uncultured Sporomusa sp. RNAcentral's name for it is "bacterial SSU rRNA". It matches the Rfam family "Bacterial small subunit ribosomal RNA", at positions 356 to 774 of the family's 1533-position model. The record is from RNAcentral. Lineage: Bacteria; Bacillati; Bacillota; Negativicutes; Selenomonadales; Sporomusaceae.
GGGGAAUCUUCCGCAAUGGCCGAAAGUCUGACGGAGCAACGCCGCGUGAGUGAAGAAGGUUUUCGGAUUGUAAAGCUCUGUCGUUUGGGACGAACGUGGAUUGUGUGAAUAAUGCAAUCUAAUGACGGUACCAAAGGAGGAAGCCACGGCUAACUACGUGCCAGCAGCCGCGGUAAUACGUAGGUGGCAAGCGUUGUCCGGAAUUAUUGGGCGUAAAGGGCGUGUAGGUGGAUUCUUAAGUCGGUGUCUAAGUGCGGUGCUCAACACCGUAUGGGGGCAGGAAACUGGGAAUCUUGGGUGCAGGAGAGGAAAGGGGAAUUCCCGGUGUAGCGGUGAAUGGCGUAGAUAUUGGGAGGAACACAAGGGGCGAAGGCGACUUUCGGGCCUGUGUCUGACACGGAGGCGCGAAAGCAAGGGGAGCGAACG